AGUGAACGCUGGCGGUAGGCCUAACACAUGCAAGUCGAACGGCAGCACAGUAAGAGCUUGCUCUUACGGGUGGCGAGUGGCGGACGGGUGAGGAAUACAUCGGAAUCUACUUUUUCGUGGGGGAUAACGUAGGGAAACUUACGCUAAUACCGCAUACGACCUACGGGUGAAAGCAGGGGAUCUUCGGACCUUGCGCGAUUGAAUGAGCCGAUGUCGGAUUAGCUAGUUGGCGGGGUAAAGGCCCACCAAGGCGACGAUCCGUAGCUGGUCUGAGAGGAUGAUCAGCCACACUGGAACUGAGACACGGUCCAGACUCCUACGGGAGGCAGCAGCGGGGAAUAUUGGACAAUGGGCGCAAGCCUGAUCCAGCCAUACCGCGUGGGUGAAGAAGGCCUUCGGGUUGUAAAGCCCUUUUGUUGGGAAAGAAAAGCAGCAGGUUAAUACCCCGCUGUUCUGACGGUACCCAAGGAAUAAGCACCGGCUAACUUCGUG
Molecule: ribosomal RNA, 492 nt
Filed under: uncultured bacterium
Lineage: Bacteria
Description: partial 16S ribosomal RNA
Rfam family: Bacterial small subunit ribosomal RNA
Source: RNAcentral